UGGGGAAUAUUGCGCAAUGGGCGAAAGCCUGACGCAGCAACGCCGCGUGAGUGAUGAAGGCCUUCGGGUCGUAAAAUCCUUUUCUGGGGAAAGAUAAUGACGGUACCCCAGGAAUAAGUUCCGGCUAACUACGUGCCAGCAGCCGCGGUAAAACGUAGGGGACGAGCGUUAUCCGGAUUUACUGGGCGUAAAGCGCAUGUAGGUGGCUUGAAAAGUUGGACGUGAAAGCUCCUGGCUUAACUGGGAGAGGUCGUACAAAACUAGCAAGCUUGAGGUUGGAAGAGGAGAGCAGAAUUCCCGGUGUAGUGGUGGAAUGCGUAGAUAUCGGGAGGAAUACCAGUGGCGAAAGCGGCUCUCUGGUUCAAUACUGACACUGAGAUGCGAAAGCGUGGGGAGCGAACGGGAUUAGAUACCCGCGUAGUCCCUGAGCGGGCUGGCAAGGCGCAU
This 447-nucleotide ribosomal RNA is filed under the name uncultured bacterium. RNAcentral describes it as "bacterial SSU rRNA". It matches the Rfam family "Bacterial small subunit ribosomal RNA", at positions 355 to 825 of the family's 1533-position model. The record is from RNAcentral.